RNAcentral lists this long non-coding RNA (2862 nucleotides) under Hordeum vulgare. RNAcentral describes it as "long non-coding RNA (HVUL_LNC007124)". Lineage: Eukaryota; Viridiplantae; Streptophyta; Magnoliopsida; Poales; Poaceae. The record is from RNAcentral.
UGUACAAUGAUCCUAGAGAUCAAUGCUCAGUGAACAAACAGAAACUAAAUAACAAGAGUCUUACAUACAUACAUACCGUUUAGCUCGGAUAUGGACAUUAUGGCAAAGUCUUCAUAUACAUCGCAACGGAAAUCUUCAAGGAUAGCGUGAACCCAUGCCAUCUGCCUUAACCCUACACACAUUCUUACUGGGAAGCGUCCUAGCUCGCAGGAACGUCACCAAGGUAUUCUUCACCACCUCCAAUUCUCUCUUACCUAGUCAAUAAAAUAACCAUUGACAAUCCAAUGAGUACUUUGAAUGUACUCGCAAGCAACCCAUGUUGGAACGAGGCAAUAAUAAUGCAGGAUAUAACAUGAAGUAGGUAAUUUAGCGGAAAGCUAAUUUUGGGUGCAAUGUCAUGAUCAAUCAGCUUGUAAGAACAUGGAUUAACAGGUAAACGAUAUCAAUACGAUCAGGUUAUAGAUAUCAAUGUCAACACAGGGUCGAACAUCCCAUGUUCACCCAUCAUGUCAAUUUGUCUAACUUAGCUCAUCAUUCAUACUACCACCAUACCCUCACACACACAAACACACUUGGUUUGUAAGAAAACUCCUGGACGUAGUUUAAGUAGCACCAUCCAACUGUCCUUGACCGUGGACACGGCUAGUCGAUUAGUUUUACACUCUGCAGAGGUUGCACACUUUACCCACAAGAUUCGGGAAACUUCUAUGUCAGCACAUGACUAGCGGUAUUUAUCAUACCAGAGGUAAGUACCCGAACAUCACCUUUCCCAUGAUGAUACUAGCAAAGAGUCCACUCAUUGGUCACAGUCCCUCAUGUUGUACCUCACGUGUAUCAUCCAUGAUGGCACGCAACGGUGUACCCAGUGUCUAUAGAAACAGCCCAUGGUCGCCCUUUAUGCUGCCAUGACCCCGUCUCGAGGGUGACCACGUCACUCCUUCCACUUGUAAUGUGGGAUCUCAACUAGCACAAGCCAUAGUAACCAGCAAAGCCCCGUCGCAUAAGGAGUAUUGUGGUUGUACAUGUAAGGUUGGGACGGUCGACAAAUCUUAAAUCUAAUCCGAGUUUCUUUAGAAAACCACUCACACAACUGGCCUCUGUAUACCACUCCCACAUCAGGUGGUUACCUAGCUCAACACAUCACCCUCGGGCAUUAGUGGAACCCGACAUGGUUUUCGCAAAACAUUUGAAAUCACCUCUUUUUACCGUCUCCAUGAAUGUACCCAAUCCCAUGCGUAGCACUACCAGCAACCUAACUACUUCCCACCCGCACAACCCUCAUAGGAAGGUAGGGUCAUUCCCACGUGCAAGUAGCAACGAGGAGCUUCCGGAGACAACCCACUAAGGUGGUCACCGACUCAACAUGAUUCAAUGCAUCAAAACAACGUACUAAAUGACAUCAAUAAAAGGAGUUUCUCAGACAUAGUCAAAGGGAUGCUUGCCUGGUUUAGCAAAGUCUUUGAGGUCUUCAUGAGCUCCUUGUGUACUCCGAGCAGCUCGUUUAUUUCGUCAACUAUCGUCAGAAACAACCACGAUAAGCCACGUCGCAAGCAAAAACACAAAUUGUUCAAUAAAUAGGAGUCUUAUUUUUCUUGGACAUCUCUGGUCAUAAGAAAAAUCUCUAAAGCUUUUUUUGAGAGAUUUGGACAACUAGAGAAUUUUGAAUGGUGGAAAAGGAGGGAAUGGGUGAUCCUACGAGAAGUCUACAUAUUUUUUUAAUAAAAAGGGUGGAUGUGCCUAUCAAUUAGGGAAUGAUUUUAAAAACAGGUAGGAAGUGGUUUCAUAGGAUUUGGAGUUGGUAUGAAUUACCUAUGAAUUUACUAAUGUUGAUUAAAUGGAAAUAGGUGCUAUGAAUUUGGCCUAGAGAAACAAUGUAUGAGGAAAAUGUUCCCCUAGGCUCGAAAAAUAGAGAAUGAUUUUAGAGUCAUCUAGAAAUUGGAAUCACACCAUUUGGAGUUGAUUUGCAUGUUAUACGAAUUUUGCAAGGAGGGGUUUGAAUAGAUAAAAUUCAAUUUUGGUUUUAAUCCCUACAGGAAAGGUAUGUGGAAAAUGUGCAAUGCGCAUAUUUGGAUAGGUAGUGAUUUUAGAAACUCCUAGAAAUUUGAAUAUGUUGAUUUGGAGCUCAUAUGAUUUAAUUAUGAAUUAUAUGAGCUUUAAAAAGAAAAAGAGGAAAGGGGGUUAUACCAGAGAGGCUAUAAUGCGCCCAGGGCGCGUGUUAAUCAGAUGGGCCGGCCGAGCGGCUUGGCCACCCGGGCAGACCAGCCUUGUCGAAGGCGCUUCCAUGGGAUGCGAUUCUCCAGUGGGGAGGCAGGACACGCGAUGGGGUGCCUCCACUUACUCGGGGCGGGGCCACCCGUCGGUGCCUCGGCCUCUGGCCGACAGGCGGGGCCCGCCCGCCCCUUUCUCUCUCUCCUCUUACCCCUUCUUCUACCUCACGUCACGGGCAUAGAGGGCCAUCGGCCGUCGCUGUUCUGGCCACCCCGCUGUGGCGGGCGCUGAGUCGAUGGUCCGGGCGGAUGCCCCAAUCCAUGCCGCGACCGGGGAUGGUCGUGUGAGCCACAGAGACGCCCAAAGUGAGGGGGCCAACAUCAGGGGCGGACGGCGAUGCUGACGUCUCGUGGGGGCACGGUUCAGUCACGGGAAUGGAGCCUUAGUGAUUCCGGGAGCUUCCCCUGCUGACGGCGUCCCUCUGGAGCUCUCAGUCGAGGUGAGGGAGGGUCGGUUGGCUCGGAUGCGAGGGUGGCCGCGUCGACACCAUGGCGGCCGCAGGAAGAGGGAGAUGGCUCGGGGGCUCACAGUGGAGGCCCGAGAGGUCUACUGGAGGGAGGGUUGAGCGCAGGGGCAGCAAGGGGGGUCGAGGGC